ACCUGUCCCACCUGUCCCAUUCCCGCUUUUCCAGGUGCGGCCAUGGAGGGGCUCCGGGGCCGGGACCCCCCCUUUGCCCAGGUGAUCCCUCACCUGUCCGAGGAGGAGGAGGAGGAGGAGGAGGAGGAGGAGCAGCCAGGUGAGGAGGAGGAAGGGUCAGGUGAGGAAGGAACAGGUGAAGAAGCAGGUGAGGAGGAAGAUCCAGGUGAUGAUGAAGAUCCAGGUGAGGGAGAUCCAGGGGAGGGAGACGUAGGUGAUGAAGAUGCAGGUGAGGAUGAAGACACAGGUGAGGAAGAAGCAGGUGAUGACGAAGAUCCAGGUGAUGACGAAGAUCCAGGUGAUGAAGACGCAGGUGAUGAUGAAGACCCAGGUGAGGAAGACCCAGGUGAUGAUGAAGAUGCAGGUGAGGAAGACCCAGGUGAUGAAGACCCAGGUGAGGAAGACACAGGUGAUGACGAAGAUGCAGGUGAGGAGGACCCAGCCGACCCCCCCCACCUGCGCCAGCCCCGCCUUUACCUGCGGCCACGCCCAUCCCACGACCAGCCCGGCCCCUCCCACCCACAGGUGCCCUGGCACCCGCCAGGUGCGCCCGCCUCACCUGAGCCAGGCGCCUUCGUGCAGCUCAUCGACGAGCGCGGCGUCUACUCCACCGCCAAGCUGGUGCUGGGCGGCCGCCCAGGUGCGCCAGGUGCGCCAGGUGAGGCCGAGGAGGAGGAAGGACAGCGCCAAAACGCACCUGGGGAGGAGGAGGAGGAGGAGGAAGAAGAGGAGGUCCCGUCCCACCUGGAGAUCCGCCAGGUGAUCGUGGCCGAGAAGCCCUUCCAGUGCCCCGUCUGCCACAAGGCCUUCAAGCGCACCUGGGAGCUGCUGAGCCACCAGGUGGUGCACACGGAGGCGCGGCCCUUCACCUGCCAGGUGUGCCGCGCCACCUUCAAGCGCCACUCGGACUUCAAGAGCCACGCGCUGGUGCACACGGAGGAGCGGCCGCACCGCUGCGAGCUCUGCGGCAAACGCUUCAAACGCGCCUCCAACCUGCAGGAGCACCGCCGCAUCCACAGCGGCCAGCGCCCCUUCACCUGCCCCAGGUGCGCCAAGGCUUUCAAGACGCCCUACGAGCGCCAGCGCCACGCCCUGACGCACCUGGCGGCCGAGCGGCCCUUCAGGUGCGGCGAGUGCGGCAAGGAUUUCGCGGCGGCCAAGGCGCUGCUGCUGCACCGGCGGCGCGGCUGCCAGGACAAGCCGCACGCCUGCGGCGUCUGCGGGAAGCGCUUCGCCUACGGGCACUCGCUGAAGGUGCACGAGCGCGUGCACACAGGUGACCGCCCCUUCAGGUGCGCGCUCUGCGGGAAGGCCUUCAAGCAGAGCAACGCGCUGGCCUCGCACGGCCGCGUGCACACGGGUGAGCGCCCCUUCGCCUGCCGCACCUGCGGCAAGCGCUUCAAGCAGUCCUCCUACCUGGCCGUGCACCAGCGGGCGCACACAGGUGAGCGGCCCUACAGGUGCGAGGCCUGCGGGAAGGCGUUCGCCCGGCCCUCGCUGCUGCUGCAGCACCGCCGCGUGCACAGCCAGGUGAGGCCGCACCGCUGCGGCCACUGCCACAAGUUCUUCAAGGACCUGGCCUACCUGGCCGUGCACGAGAAGGUGCACACAGGUGAGACGCCCUACAAGUGCGGGGUGUGCGCCAAAGGGUUCGCGCACCCCUCCAACCUGCUGCAGCACCAGCGCGUGCACCGCCACACCUGAGCCACAGGUGAGGCCGGCCCCGGGUCUGCACACCUGGGCAGCGACACCUGGGCAGUGACACCUGAGCCCCAGGUGAAACGACUCGGUACCUGUGAGCCCAGACAGGUGUGGACCCCAAAAAUGGAUUUUGGACCCCAGAAAGGUGCGGUAGCAACACCUGGACUGCGACACCUGAGCUGCAGGUGAAAGGACUCAGUACCUGUGAGCCCAGACAGGUGUGAACCCCAAAAAUCUUCUACGGAACCCAGAAAGGUGCAGCAGCAACACCUGGACUGUGACACCUGAGCCCCAGGUGAAAGGACUCCAGAACUGCACACCUGGACAGGUGUGGACCCCAAAAAUGGAGUUUGGACCUCAAAAAGGUGCAGCAGCAACACCUGGACAGAGACACCUGAGCUCCAGGUGAGGGAAACCCGGCACUGCACACCUGGACAGGUGUGGAACCCAAAAAUCUUCUAUGGACCCCAAAAUGUCAGCAGCAACACCUGGACUGCGACACCUGAGCUGCAGGUGAGGGAAACCCGGAACUGCACACCUGGACAGGUGUGAAAACCCCAGAACUGCAGCAGCAACACCUGGACAGAGACACCUGAGCUGCAGGUGAGGGGCCUCAGGACAGGUGUGGACCCCGAACUCUGCAGCACCUGAGGCCCAGGUGAGGGGUCACACCUGAGCUGUGACGUCACCAACAGUGGGCGAGGAACCGAGGGACCUCCAAGGUUGUGAGCGCUGUGAGGGCUCACCUGGGCACCCACCUGGGCGCUCACCUGAGCACCCACCUGAGCCCAGCAUGGACUGGGGUGGGUUUGGGAAGCUCCAGGUGCACACCUGGAUGAGGUGUGUGCACACCUGGAUAGGGCAGGGCACACCUGGAUGGGGCAGGGCACACCUGGAUGGGGCAGGGCACACCUGGAUGGGGUGGGGCCUUUCCCUCUUGGACAAUGGGGCAGGGGCAGCUCACCUGGGCACACCUGAACACACCUGAGGCACACCUGAGCACACCUGGGGCACACUUGGGCACACCUGAGCUCACCCGGGGCACAUCUGAGCUCACCUGAACACACCUGGGGUCACCCAGGGAACACCUGGGCACACCUGAGCUCACCUGGGGAACACUUGGGCACAUCUGAACACACCUGAGCUCACCUGGGUCACACCUGAGCUCACCUGAACACACCUGGGGUCACCCAGGGCACACCUGAGCUCACCU
This is a non-coding RNA of Taeniopygia guttata (zebra finch), 2953 nucleotides long. Lineage: Eukaryota; Metazoa; Chordata; Aves; Passeriformes; Estrildidae. The record is from RefSeq and is a predicted model, not a curated record.